CGUUUCCGAUUUAUGGGGGGCGGUGAGAUGCCAUUCCGGAUAUCGACGCUCUUAACGGUUACGUUAUUCGUGAGUUCGAGCAUAUGAUGUGCAUUGAGCUGUGUGAUUCUAUCGAAGGCCGAGGAGGACUUUGCGCGUCCCCCUUUCUACAGGUCUUAGCAUCAGGAGCUUCUUAGAGCUAUAAGGGUUAUUCGUCUCGCU
This 201-nucleotide ribosomal RNA is filed under the name Bacillus sp. IS2405. Its description in RNAcentral is "partial 16S ribosomal RNA". The record is from RNAcentral. Lineage: Bacteria; Bacillati; Bacillota; Bacilli; Caryophanales; Bacillaceae.